RNAcentral lists this unclassified non-coding RNA (331 nucleotides) under soil metagenome. RNAcentral's name for it is "partial contains 5.8S ribosomal RNA, internal transcribed spacer 2, and large subunit ribosomal RNA". The stretch from base 1 to 121 matches the Rfam family "5.8S ribosomal RNA", at positions 35 to 154 of the family's 154-position model. The record is from RNAcentral.
GAUGAAGAACGUAGCGAAAUGCGAUAAGUAAUGCGAAUUGCAGAAUUUCCGUGAGUCAUCGAAUCUUUGAACGCACAUUGCGCCCCUUGGUAUUCCGGGGGGCAUGCCUGUUCGAGCGUCAUUUCAACCCUCAAGCUUCUGCUUGGUCUUGGGCCGUGCCGGCAACGGCUGGCCUUAAAACUAGUGGCGGUGCCAUCGAGCUCUACGCGUAGUAAUUCUAUCUCGCGUCUGGGCUUCGGUGGACGCUGGCCAGCAACCCCCAAUUUUCUAUGGUUGACCUCGGAUCAGGUAGGGAUACCCGCUGAACUUAAGCAUAUCAAUAAGCGGAGGA